GUGCUUGCUUCAGCGGCACAUAUACUAAAAUUGGAACAAUACAGAGACAAGCAUGGCCCCUGCACAAGGAUGACACACAAAUUCGUGAAGCGUUCCAUAUUUUA
Molecule: small nuclear RNA, 104 nt
Organism: Fukomys damarensis (Damara mole-rat)
Lineage: Eukaryota; Metazoa; Chordata; Mammalia; Rodentia; Bathyergidae
Source: Ensembl